This 644-nucleotide ribosomal RNA is filed under the name uncultured Actinomycetes bacterium. RNAcentral describes it as "bacterial SSU rRNA". It matches the Rfam family "Bacterial small subunit ribosomal RNA", at positions 231 to 885 of the family's 1533-position model. The record is from RNAcentral. Lineage: Bacteria; Bacillati; Actinomycetota; Actinomycetes.
UCGCGGCCUAUCAGCUUGUUGGUGAGGUAAUGGCUCACCAAGGCGACGACGGGUAGCCGGCCUGAGAGGGCGACCGGCCACACUGGGACUGAGACACGGCCCAGACUCCUACGGGAGGCAGCAGUGGGGAAUAUUGCACAAUGGGCGAAAGCCUGAUGCAGCGACGCCGCGUGAGGGAUGACGGCCUUCGGGUUGUAAACCUCUUUCAGCAGGGAAGAAGCGAAAGUGACGGUACCUGCAGAAGAAGCACCGGCUAACUACGUGCCAGCAGCCGCGGUAAUACGUAGGGUGCGAGCGUUGUCCGGAAUUAUUGGGCGUAAAGAGCUUGUAGGCGGUUUGUCGCGUCUGCAGUGAAAAUCCGGGGCUCAACCCCGGACUUGCUGUGGGUACGGGCAGACUAGAGUGUGGUAGGGGAGACCGGAAUUCCUGGUGUAGCGGUGGAAUGCGCAGAUAUCAGGAGGAACACCGAUGGCGAAGGCAGGUCUCUGGGCCACAACUGACGCUGAGAAGCGAAAGCAUGGGGAGCGAACAGGAUUAGAUACCCUGGUAGUCCAUGCCGUAAACGUUGGGCGCUAGGUGUGGGGCUCAUUCCACGAGCUCCGUGCCGCAGCUAACGCAUUAAGCGCCCCGCCUGGGGAGUACGG